CUCUCUCUCUCUCUCCUCUCUCUCUCUCUUUAAAAAAAAAAAAAAGAAUGGGUGCAGUAAUAGGUGAUAAAAUGGCUCCUCCACAAACCCAACAGCAAUUUUAUAGGCACCCAGAUGUGCAGGAACCCCAGGGAAGUGCAUCCAGGUUCAUGACAAACCCCCUUUCAGCCAGCAGGUUUCCUUUGGCUGGAGGGUUCCUGGCUGGCUCUCUCCUGGCUGCCCCUCCUCCCUCAGCUUCUGCUGUUCAGUGUGAACUGGAGCUUCUGGGAUGCACCUUGGCUUAGAGCCAGAAUCUUCUUGGAGAGGCCUCCUGUCCUGGCUCCCUGCCAGGCCUCAGGUUUUCAGAGAGAUUUUUCUGGGGAGACACUGGGCAGAGGGGCCUCGCUCAGCCUUCAGAACUCAAAGCACUCCAGGCUGUGGGGCCAGUCUUGCCUCCAGCCUCCUGCCCCACCCAGAAGUUCAUUUCCUGCCUGGGACACCCUGGACUGGGUUAAGGGUCUUUUAGCUCCAGUAAUUCAUGAAUCUUUGAAAAGCAGGCUCCUUACAAGAGGUGAGGAAUUGGCAGCCAGGAGAGCAUGAUGAGUCAUGAUGAUGGUUAUAGGGUCUCUUUCCUGAGAACCUUUGCUCUGUGCUAACACUUUGCAUACAUGUCUUCUUUGAGACUUGGCUCUUGGGGAGAAGAAAGAGUUGUAAAUAUAAUCUAGGUUCUGUACUUUUCUAAGCCAGUGUCAUUUGGGUGUUUUGCAUGGGGUAUGUCUCAAAAGCUAUAGUUCUUAGGUAGAAGGGCAUUUUAGGUCUCAGUGGGUUCUUAUUUCCCAGAGGCUUUGGGAAGCAGCAUGAGUUCACUCGGUUGCUAGAAAGUGCCUCUACAUUAUCUCUUACUUCAAGGUGGCAGUAUAUCUAGAGAAUCCAGAUGGGAAAGCUCAGUGCUGCGUUCCAGGGAGCCUUGGAGGAGUAGGAAGCAUUCCACCCAGUCCUGACCCGUCUCCUCAUCGUCAAUGUGCACCCUAGCCUUGUUGCACCUUACUUUGUAAAAUAUGGGGAGGCCCAAGUCUGCCAGCCUGUCUAUGAUGCCAAUGGAGUAUGGCUUCUCAGGGGGAGCUUGGCCUUUAUUUUCUGCAAUGCUCUGCCCCCUGAGGUAACACCCACUGUCCUCUGGAGGAGGAAAAGUGGUCCCUGUCCCAUCUUGUCUUGUACUUCAGCAGAGAAUGCCAGGCCUCUUUUCAUUUGCCCAGUUUGGCAGCACAGUACCUGCUAUCUCUCUGGGUCAGGAGAGGUGGCCAGUGCUCUGAAGGUACAUCAUUUCUUUGACAACUGCUGGGGAGAGGGAAAGUAAAAAAGGGAAUUUGAAGUUUACAGCCACCCUUGCCCUUUGAGCUUACAUCUUCCUGUAUCCCAUUUUAGUCCACUCUUUUCUAUUGUUGAAUCACGGACUCAGAGAUCACAGGAGUGUGAAGCAGAGGUAGUGUGGUUCAAAGGGCGACAGGCUCUGGGGUCUCUCUGGCCUAUAUGAGAACCCAUGGGCACACUAAUUCUCCUUUCUGAGCCAGUUUGAGCAAAGUUAGGGAUAGUAAUACUUACCUUGUAGCACUCAAGAAAUAUCACUUUGGGUUAGGAAUCUGGCUCAGUGGCAGAACAUUUGCCUAGAAUAGUUAAGACCCUGGGUUUGAUCUCUAGCACUGCCCCUUCCCCCUAAAAUGAAAGAACCUCCAGUUUGAAUUCUCUAUCUCACUGGUGUGUCAUAGAGUAAAGGCCCUGGAAGUGAGUGGGCAAGGGACCCAGCUCAGUCAUGGUGUUUAUUGACCCUGGGUAAACUCUGGUGCAGGUAGAAGCCUUGACCUGCUCUCUACUCUCUAGGAACAGAGAAACUAGUGGGAUGCAUAGAUUCAGGGGUAGAUUGUUUUGAUUCAGGCCCUAGGAGUUAAGGUGGAGGCAUCAGUUUGACUCCCUAUAUCUACUAAGAUCUUCCACAUUGUCAAGAGAGCGGGACAGAGGAUCUCCACUGGGAGGAAAACUCCCUGACCAGAGUUCAGACGUCUGACCAGGUUCAGACGUCAGAGUAGAGUGCCAGGGAGGAGACCUGAUGGACUGCUUUUGAGAUUUAGGUGCAGAAUAUCAGGUCAGAUGGUUGAGACUGAAAAUGACAAGGUAGGGAGCCAACUAAGGGAAUCAGUCACCAUAUGCAAGAUGGGUGGGCAUGGAGGAUGCCCAGGCCCUAAGCCACUCAAGUCAGCUGGAGCUGAGUAGGCACACCCACCUUAGGCCUGUCACCUCAUGGCUCUUGGUCUGGACAGUAGGUCCAGACUGGGCCAGAGAGCCAUUUCCCCGUUUGCAAGAGAACCAUGGAGCUUAAGAAUUGGAAGUCUUCCCAUGCCACAUUGUAUUUUUUCUACCACACUCAUUUAUUCAUUCAACGUUUAUUGACUGCACAUUAUGUGUCAGGCAAAGCCUUGGGGACACAGAGGAGGAAACCACAGUCCCUGGUCCAGCACUUUAGCUGUAAUAUAGAAUUUCAUAUAUUCAUCCAGAACAGGAAAGCUGGGUUAGCAGGCACUGGGGGGUGUGACAGUUAUCAUCAGUUUGUGGACUUCUUGCCUUCCCUGCCCCUCUUCAUGCCCCAAGAGCCUGGGAGAACAGGGUCAGAGGCCAUUUCAUGCUCUUCCCAUUGUGACCUUACACUGUUGCUUAGCUUCAGCUAAAACUUUAAUUCUCUAGAUCUUGCCAAUUCUAUAUACUUUCCCUUUCUUCAUUUAAAAACAUUUUUCCCCCUGGGGAUUAAACCCAGGAUCUCACACAUGCUUGGUAAGCACCUUACCACUGAACUACAUCUCUGCCCAACUUUGAUCUUAAGAAUCAGAAUAUCAGGGGGCUGGGGAUGUGGCUCAAGCGGUAGCACGCGCGCCUAGCAUGCAUGUGGCCCGGGUUCGAUCCUCAGCACCACAUACAAACAAAGACGUUGUGUCUGCCGAGAACUAAAAAAUAAAUAUUAAAAAUUCUCUCUCUCUCUCUCUCUCUCUCUCCCACUCUCUCUUAAAAAAAAAAAAGAAUCAGAAUAUCAGUAAUCUAAUGAGAUUUAUAUGUGAGACAGGUAGAAAACAUCUAAAAUACAAUCACCUUUGGAUGGAUUCAUACACUGAAGGUUUCUUCUCCUUAGAAGAAAUCAGAUGCUGUUUGGAAAACCAAGACUAGAAUUUUACCCCAGUUCUAUUCAGGCUGGACUCUGGUACAAUUCUUUGUAAGCAGGCCUGCACAUAAGUUGGCAAUAGUAGGCCCCCACCUGCCUUCUGUCCACACAACUGGAGUUUUAGAGUUUUCCAUGUAGUCCGUGGGUUGGGGCGCAGUCCUGCAAAUGAAUCCACUAGUUCUAAAGCCCCAAUGCUGGGUCUGCCAUUUUAUUACUUGCCUUACAGGAGCAGGAAGGGUAAAUGGGUUUGUUACCAUUACUAUUACUACCACUACUACUAUUAGUAGUACUAUUACUACUAUUUUGAUGGUUUCAUUGUUGAGGUUGAUGUGUGUGUGUGUUAGUAAGAUAAAACACUUGGACAUCAUUACAUAGCAUUGGUUAAGGCAUCACUUCUGGCAACAUGGAAAGUGGUUCCAGACCUUUGAAAGGAACCACAGAGUUUUAGCCAAAAAGAGAAUCUGAGGGAAUUGUCCUUCCCUCAGCUUCAUUAUGGACUGAUCAGCUUCUAUCUGAGGGAAUUGUCCUUCCCUCAGCUUCAUUAUGGACUGAUCAGCUUCUAUCCGUGGGCAAGAUGAACAUACAUGGAACAGACUGUAAGCAGGUGAGUAGCAAGUAGGAAGACAUAGUAGUCUGGACUCUGCUUCUGAAACCUUUGACCUUUUCUUCUCUGGGAAACCCCACAGAGUCUAGUGAGGGUGACUUCCAGAAAGACAAUAUAUAUUCUUGGAUUCUGUGACAAUGAGCAGUGAUACAAAUGAGUGUCCAAAUGCUGGCUACGGGUGAGCCUUCUCUAUACAAGGUAGCUUAGCUCUCUUCUACUUCCCUUGCUGAGACCUCCUGCCCAUGGUUCACUGAAUGAAUGACACGUGCACACAGAUUGGCUUUGGAUUUAACUGUGGCAACCAGUUGACAGCAUGUGUUUCAGUCACGGGGCAGUGGUACAUAGACUCCUGAGCUAGAGGAACCAGUGCAAGAUUGUCCUUCUCCCUAUUCUCUUCUCCCUCUCAUGUGCCCUCUUUUCCAGAUUCAGAAGACAGAGAAGAGAGAAGGAGGAGCACUAUGGCAAGAGUCCAAAGGUGGGUCAUCUUUGGACCACAAGUGUGUAUUCACAGUUCUUUCUAGUAGCAUUUCUCAUUUCUCUGUGCAAUGUAUUGAUGUGGCUACAGAUGGAUAGUCCAAGCCAGAUUUGGGUCUUGGAUUACUGUUAUUUUUUUCUUCUUUUGGAAGAAAAAAAACUUAGUUUGGGGAGGACAUUAUAAAAUGAAAAUUGGGCUUGGAGACAGGCCUUUAGUCCCAGCUACUCUGGAGGCUGAGUCAAGAGGAUCACUUGAGCCCAGGAGUUGAGGUUAGCCUGGGAAACAUAGCAAGACCCUAUCUCAAAAUAAUAACAACAAGCAAAUUUUAAAAACAAAAAGAGCAAUAACCCUGCUUCUUAGAACCAGUUUCCUAUUAGGUUGACCCAUAUGAAUUUUUUGUUGUUGUUGUUCAAAAACAUUUAAGUAUUGAUUGUUUCAUAUAGUUCAACCUAGUACAUUUCCAUUACUCUGGGAAGGUGCCCAUUUUAAGGGGUCCCUGAGAUUUUAAUCAUUUGUGUUCAUCUUCAUCCUUCAAUAUCAUUCUCUGAAUUAUUUUAACAGUAGAAGGAAUCGUGGCAACCUGUGGGUUGUACUGCAAGAAACAGUUACCCCAGCAAGGGUCCACAUUGCCUCAACUUCAUGAAAUGUCAUCUUGUGACACAAGACAAUUAAGAUGAUGUUUGAGUACCCUUUUUUUCAUUAUUAAAAAAAAAAAAAUCUGGCUAGCUCAGCCAACCUUACCCUGACUAAGGACUGAGACCAGUUCCAAACUUUUUUUGUCUUGGAGGUAUUUGCUUCCAUCUGGCAUUCUUCCUGAAUGGGAUAUUACUUCACCUCCUACACCAGCAGCCGUCCUGGGGAUGGUGUGGUGUGCUGCCAUGCGGUGCUGUAAGGGGAGAAAGUUGCUGAAGUGUUGGCAACAGCCACACCAUAACCUUUUAGCCACCUCAGGGUGACUAUUAGGUUGACCCAUAUGAAAUUUCUGCCCAGUGUGGGGAAGCCAGCAGUGUGAGCUUUAUACUGAUUGCACUUGUAGUCCCACAUUCUUUACACUAUCAUCAGUCUAUAUGUCUGGGACUGUUAGUAUGUGUGUGUGUGAGAGAGAGAGAGAGAGAGAGAGAGAGAAUAAGGCUGUGAGUAUCUCUUUAUGGCAGCUCAGUAAAACAAGGAGCUGGAGAGCGGUGUUGGUAAUAAGCAAGACAUUUCAAAGCCCCAACUCUCCCCCUUGGGGGGCCAUCAUGAUGUGUUUGCCUUUCCCGGGGAGGGGGCCAUACAUAUACAUAUAUGUAUAUGUAUGGGGGUUUUGCCAUGCUUCUCAUUAUAUGGGGCUGCAUUCAAGUGGCUGGCCAGGUGUAUGAGAAGCUGCCUGACUGGGUGAGCCCCAUCUGCCAUGAGCUCACAGACUUGCCUUCCUGCCCGCCUUUCGUCCAUGGGGAGCCUGUCCCUUCGCAGCUCACGUCUCCUUUCUAAUUUAUUAGCUGGGAAGGAGGAGAAAAUGAAACGUUGCCUGAAGACAAUGGCCUAGACAGCAGGUUCCACCCUGCACAGCCGCCAACACCUCUCCCCCUAACCCUGCCUCCUCCUCUGCAGUUGGGUCUGCGCUUUAUUCUGCUAAGCCUGAAAUAAGAAAAAAAAAAAAAGAAUUUUAAAGUAUUCUAUAAAAACUAUUCCAGCCCUUGGUCAUGCAGAGGUAGCUGUAGACUGUUGAAGAUAGGAGAGGCCAAUAGGACAAAGAUUUGAGCCACAGUUUGUAUCAAAUGGCCAAUAAAUAUGAGUUCUCUCAUGGACUCUGGGCCCCCUAUCUCUGAGUCCCAGGACUUCUCCCCAGCUCCCAGUCAGGCAGGGGAGGGGAAAGGGGCCCAAGGCAGCUGCAGGGGCUGUGUUAGUAAACACUUUCCUGGGUUCCCAUUUUCUUCACCCCCCCCACCCUUCUCCACUCCCUGAUGCCCCUUACACAAUCCCACCCCCCAGCAUCCCCCUUUCUGUGGUCUGCACAAUGAGCUCAUUGUCCUGGGUGUGAUUUGAAUAAGGGAUCUGCGGGCCUGUUCCCAGCAUUGUCCAAGGGGCUGGGAAAAACCCCAGCGCAGGCAGGAGGACCAGACCAGACAGAGACAGAUGCCUAAAUUAGCAACAAAGCUUUGUGCAGGUCCCCCGGACAAGGGCUUGCCUUGUUUGCGUGGACUCGAGGGUGUGGAGCUGGCCGGCUGCUCACAUGUCUCCCCAUGUUAAUUAGUUUUGCAUGCAUGUCUGAGAAGGUGCCAGGGGAGAUGUGUUUGCCUUUCCCGGGGAGGGGGCCCUGUUUGUAGCUGGCCAGCAGGCUGGGGGCUGUGGAGCUGAGCAAAGCUGGGCCUACCUGGGGAGCCAGACUCUGAGAUUGGUUUGAGAAUCUCAGAUCCCCCAUCUUCUUGCUCUGUUUUUCUGCCCUUGGGGUAGGGGCUGACUUUAUUCCCUGAGCCCCCUCCCAUCCUACCCCUGCACAUCUGAAAGUUGGUCAGCUCUGACUAUAGGGAACUCACUGGCUUCUACCCAGACCCUGGCCAGUGCCUAUCCAUCUGGCGGUCUGUCUCUCGCGACACAGGGCCCCUUGGGACAGGACAGCAGAAGCGGCCAGUCUGGGCUCUCCUCUGUACCCGAGCCAGAUGGCCAGUCUGCUUAUCGCAUUACGACCUCCCAUGUCCCCAGACCCAUGCCACCCGUGGUGGGCCAGGAUCUUGUUUGGGAUUGUUUGGGAUAUGAUGGAGAAGCCUGCCUUUAAGCUUUUGGAGAGGUCUGGCCUGAAAAGAAAGGGGUCUGGUACACAGGGCACAAGGGGUGGCCUUACCACUCUGUGACCUCAGGCAGGCCACAUCCCCAAACCUCUGAAUCUCGGUUUUUUCCAUUGGUGAGAUGAUUGAGUUGAACUUCAGGAAUCUCUUGGUUCCCUCCUGGCCCAAAAAGUCUGUGAUGGUGGUGAUUCUUUCAAACCUGUGUUUGAUUUAGCGCUCUCUGAUUUACAUGGUGAAGGAGGGACAGUGAAUUCUGGCUAGAGGUGAUAGUGAGUAUUGCGGGAAGGAUUUCAUUCCUCUAGUGUGGGCCUGUGUUUUCAGAAUAGAUGGAGGAUCAGGAGCAGACAAGGCUUAUCUUCAGGUUCUUACAAACCUCCCUCUGCAGCAUGAGCCCUUCUUGUCCUGCCCUUAUGCUACAGUGGUGAGAAACAAGCUCUUGCCCAGCUGAAGGGAGCUAAAGGCAGUGGCCACACAGGAGAAGCUAAAGGGAGAGCAGCUGCUGUCCAGGGCCCUGGGUGUGUCCCAGUCGCCCCCUGCAGGCCCUGGGAUGGGGGACAGGGAUGCCUGCCAAAGCUGAGCUGAGCCAGACCUCCCAGACAACUUCCCAGCUAAUGCAUUCAGAAUCUCUCUACCUCUACAGCCCCUUACAGUAACUCAGGGAGUGAGGGGCAGGGGUGGAACAUUGUUCUUCUUGUUCAGGUGCAAGGACUCAGGAUUCAGUGGCCAGGGCAUUUGAUUCCUAACUCUUUGCUGGUCUUUCCCUGCUACUCAGCCCUGCUGGCCUUGCCCUCUUGUUCACACAGCCUCUAGAUUAAUUGGAAGCCUAAGCCUGGGAUUACUUACAGUCCAAAAUGUUGUAUGCCAAAGCUUCCAGUCCUUUUGUUGUUGUUGUUGUUAAUGGGAAUUGAACCCAAGGCGCUUUACUACUGAGCUUCAUCCCCAGGGUAACUCCUAUAGACAGAAGGGAACUUAAUUUAUUCUCUGUGUGUGCUGUAGGGAACGCAGAGGCUUGUACAUGUGAGGCAAGCAUCUACUACUGAGCUACAUACUCCCUGCUUUAUUUUGGUAUAGGAUCUCACUAAGUUGACCAAACUAUCAAACUUGUGAUCCUCCUGCUCAUAGCUGGGAUUACAGGUGUGUGCCACCAUGCCUGGCUACUAUGUAUGUGUUUUAAAUGAGUUAAAGUGCCUCUGGUUCUGAAAAUGUUGGGAUCUUAGAGAAAAGCUUCAAAAGCUGGGUUUUCUCUCCUGUCCCUUUGUCAACCUCCCCCAUCUCUGGUCUUCCCUUCCCUACCUUCUCAGAUGUGGUGGGAUAUACUUUGCUCUAGAGCCAGCAGCUGGCUAGAGGAACCCACAGGAAGUUCCAAGAUUAACUGUAGGUAGUCACUGGGCCAGCAGGGGAGGCAGGCCCCAGGACUUCUCUGUGGUGGGUAGUACCCUCCCCUCAUUGCUCCAUCCAGUUGUCCACAAGCAGCGCAUUCACUCCUCUCAACCUGGCCAUCUCUCCCCUCUCUGCCUCUCCCCAUCUUUCUUCUUUGGGUUCUGGGGGCCUCUUUCUUUGCCCUAUUACCUCUGUCCUUGGGUUGCUCCUCACUCAAGCUGGGUAUCUGGCAAUGAAGUCUAAAGCUUGAUGAAGAGCAGAGAGGUUAGAUAUAAUGAGAGAAAUGACCACAGUAGGGGUGGGGGAGAAGAGGCAGGGCCUUAGAGGAUCUGUCACCUGUCCUCCCUGUCCCCGACCAAGGUCUUAGCUGCCUCAGCUGUAGCUCUGAGCUCCUUAAUCUGGUGAUCAGUGCAGUGCUGGGGGGCGGGCUGGCAGAGGCUUUAGGAGGUAACAGGGGAUCUUAGGAGUCGCACUCUGCUAACGGAGCGUCACUGAGUAUCACACAAAGCCUGGGAAUCACAUUCCAAGCCCGGCUCUCCCUUCCAGAAGCAGCAGCCCCAGCUGGGCUAGACCCAGCAUGAGUGGUGCCUGGUAGAGGGCUGGGACUCAGGCCCUGCUUGCAGUUGGGCGUCACCUUGCUCUUUGUUCCUCAGGAGGAAAGUUUCCAAGAUUAAGGCUUUCCAGCCCUUUCUGCAUGGCUGAGGUUUUAUUGUUUGGUAGCUGCCCCCAACCUUGCCCAAGUGCUCAAAUCCACUGGCUGCCAAUCCCAGCUAGAAAUCAUUUGUACAUUGCAGGUAUUCAUUCCCCAGGUCAGCUAGAAAAAUGCUGUCAAGGUGAUCAGGGGAUGGAGAUUUAUUCUAGAACUAAGUGAGACUGCUGUAUAGUAUGCCUUCCUUAUUAGACGGAGCUAUCCUUAGAGAACCCAAGGAGUUCCGAAAUUGAGGCUAGGAUGCAGAAUGAAAGCCCACAUGAUUCUAAGGCUUAUCCCAGCAAGAUGAUGGUAGCUCAGGCCCAAAACUUUGGCUGGGGAGGAAGAGGUGCUGUGGGCAAGACCCAACCCAGAAUUACUGUGCAGUAUAUGUCUCAGAGCCUCUAUACCCUCAUCUGAAAAAUGGGAAUUGUUUUUACCUAUGGAGUUGCUGUGAGGAGUGUCAGAUACAUGGAUACCACUAAAUCGGGUUAAUAUUACUUCACUCUUUCCCUGAGAUAUAGGGCAGAUAUGAAGGAGGUGAAUUUCUAAAGGUCAUUUAGUAUAUCUGUGGUUUGGGGGUAGGGUGGGGACAGUAGUUAUAUUCAGAAUAUUUAAUCUCUGGUACAGCCUGGGCACCAACUAGUCAGAAUGGCAGCUGGUCCAAACCAUCAGCUCAGAGAGGAGGGCACAGCUGGGCUGAAAUAAGUUCAUUUGUCUUUGUGUCUUUCUGCUCCAUCAUGUGUCUGUUCAUCAGCAAGUAUACAGACAUCCCUGGAGGGCCGUUCCUGACUAGGUCACAGAAUGUGGGAUCCAGGGAUCUCCUCUGCAUUCUGAGCAGGUCAGACCUUCCUGGCACGGGGUACCCAGCCUGACUUGGCAGAGGGCAGUGAACCAAGGUCCUUCGUAGCUCCAGGCUCCAUGAUGGCUGCAGAGCUGCCACCAGUUUCUGUGGGGGUUUUCUACUUUGUUACCUGCCAGUAACCCUCCCGUCAUGGCCCUACCCAGCUCACAGGGAACUCAGCCUGCAUCAUCUCCUUCAAGCUGCACUGGGAUGGAGGAGGCACCUUUACCCAGAGGCUACAAAAAUGAAAGCCCACCUCACUGCUGGCAAGUGCUAUGAGACUAAUAUGUGAUCUGUCUUGAAACAAGGCUUUGGCCAGAAAGCAUGUCUCAGCUAGAUGUGUUCUCAUUCUCAGCCUCGAAUUGGGAUGUCUUUGCCUUCUCUUCUGGUUCUACAUGCUUUGAAUAGUGUUUUCCUGAGUGACCCUCCAGAUUGUCCUGUGAAGUAAAGUGAUGGUACAGCCUCUUUUCAGUUUUUAUGGAAAUGGAGACAGAGAGGAAUGGUGACUCUUGCCAAGGUCGCAGGAUUGGAAUAUGGAGCCAAACUGCCUCAGGUCAUAGAAGAUCAUCAGAAGGAGAAAAUCUGAGCAGGAAGAAAAGAGUCAGCUACCGCUUUAGGCUGUAAAAGUUGGAGGCAAGAAUGGAGGAAUCCCAGGCAAUCCUGCUUGUCUGGGACUUGCCAAGAGACCUGGGGAAUAUGACCCAACCCUUUUGUGGGGUCUUUGCUUUUGACCUAUUGGCCUAGUAUGUCCUCUACCAUUUCUGCCCUUAUCACAUCCUAUCAGGCCUGUUCACCCUGAAACAUUCUGGCCAGGCCUCUGGUAAAUGGAAGCUCUAUACCAUCUGCAUUUUCACCCCAAAGGACUGGAGGCAGUGUGCUGGGAAGUUGCCAAAGCAGAGGCUCCAGCCUUCUAGGAGUUAAUGACUCCUUCUCCCCAGCUGUCCUCCCUUUGGUGCUCCUCUUCCUCCCUCCUGCUCACAGCAGGCUCGGCCUGGACCCGGGAGCCAUGCUGCUGUGCUGUUGCCAGGGGAGCCCAGAGGCAGAUCUGAGCUAUGCAGGGAAAAGGCCCAGCCUGUCAAAGUGUCUGAGAUGAACCGCCACUGUCCCUGUGCAGCUGGGCUCAGACUUGUCUCGGCUCUUGUCUGUGCCUGAGAAUGGCAAAGCCCAGUGAGGUUCAAGGGCAAACUCGCUAUUCAUUAGUCAGGGGUUCUUGACGUCCUGUCUCUCCAGGGAUGGGUUCCCCCUUCCUCUCUCUCUCCCUCCUCUGAUACAUUCCUGGGUGCCUUUGGAGAGGACUACACACCCUCCUCUUGCCCAACCCCCUCUCCAUAGACCCCUGAAUAAACUCCCCUCAAGGAGACCAGGCAGGAUAGAGACAAUGGCUUCAGGAAAUCAUUCAGGCGGGACCCCAGCCACUCUGGCCUGCCUUCCACUCCCACAGCCCCUGUAGGCACAUUCUGCUUGUGACUCCAGCCACUCUGGGCCACCAGCCUGCAUAGGCCUGGAUGGGAAGAGACUACUGGGCACUGCCCUAAGGACAACAUUCAGUGCAAUGCCAUUCUCACUGGGCUCCAGGUAUACAUUUAUCUCCCUGGCUGGCUGCUAUAUUUCUGUAACAUUGUGUGUCUAUUUAAAGACACUCUUCAAUGCUGUUUUUAGGAAGUAUAUUUUCUAAAAUGUAGCAGUAUCAAAAAAUAAAAGGCAGUAGUGCAGGCCUGUAAUUCCAGCAACUCAGGAAGCUCAGGCAGGAGGAUUGCAAGUUCAAGGCCAGCAUCGGCAACUUAAGAAGACCCCAUCUCAAAAAAUUAAAAAGAGGGCUUUCAUGCACAAGGCCCUGGGUUCAAUCCCCAGCACCAAAUAAUAAUAAUAAUAAUAAUAAUUAAAAGGGCUGGGGGGUCUAUCUCAGCACUCCUGGAUCUAAUCUUCAGUACUGGGGAAAAAUAUAAAAGGCAUAUAUACUUGAACACAAA
Long non-coding RNA from Ictidomys tridecemlineatus (thirteen-lined ground squirrel), 11910 nucleotides. RefSeq lists it as uncharacterized. Lineage: Eukaryota; Metazoa; Chordata; Mammalia; Rodentia; Sciuridae. The record is from RefSeq and is a predicted model, not a curated record.